This 852-nucleotide long non-coding RNA is filed under the name Mus musculus (house mouse). RNAcentral's name for it is "long non-coding RNA chr3:134261182-134262034". The record is from RNAcentral. Lineage: Eukaryota; Metazoa; Chordata; Mammalia; Rodentia; Muridae.
UUAUAAUGCAGAGCUCUGUCUUUAUUGACUUUCAGACUAAAGUGACUUUCUGUUGGACUCCUCUUCUCCUCAUACAAACACAGAGGCCCACUCACAAAGUAGUACUGACUCCAUCCAGAUUACAUGAAUAGUAAAUAUCUUCCCCUAAUGUAUGGGUAUGCAAAAACGUCUCCUGUUUUGUUUAACCCCAAACCUUCCAUUUCAUACUAAGCAAUCACAGGGAGUGAGAGACAAUGGGCUUGUUAUGAAUUAACAUUAAGUAAUCAUGAAAGGAAUGGAAUGUUCCAUCCUUUGUCAGAAGCCCUGGUGUGGAUGUUGUUCAAUUAGUGCUAAAGCAUAGAAAGACUAGCUGAUUGUAUCAGUAAUCAAAGAAAGAAAAUAGAGACACAGUUAAAUGAAGGCACGAGUCAGGGUCAAAUAUGUUGAGCAGAAAGCUGUAGUGGGUCUUUGAUCAUGGUGAGAUUCACAGCGAUAUCAAACAGUUGGUUCUCAUGUAACAGCUAAAUGUUUCAGAUUUUGUUUUUUAUUAAAUUUGACAUUUCACACUGAGAUCUGUAUUCCUAGCGAGUAGAACACAGCUCCUGUGUUCAGAGGGAUUCCGUUCCACAAUUGACAAAUAGAUAUUUCAGGACAUGGGCCACCAAGUGUACUCCGUUCCCAGUGUCCUCCCGUUCUGAACUGUGCAGUUAUCGGUUACAUUUUCUAAUAGAUAUUUGUGUAAAAGUGUAUGUAAGCUUGUGCAGUUAUUUUAAAAAGCAGUUUUGGAAAACAGUGUAUUUAUUAAAGAAAAAAUCACUUAUGGGGCAUGUACAAAACUGUAAAAAAAAUUAAAAAUCACUUCAAUUUGCCCAG